GAUCUUUCCACUCCUCAUCCCACUUUCUAUCCUUUCUCCUAUCAUGACCAGAUCAGAAAAGUUUGAUGAUAUACUCCCAAUCAUCUUAUCAUAAAAAGGCGACUGGAGAGUAUCCAUAAACAUACCAACCAUUUCUCUUUCAGAUAAGGGAGGUUCCACUUGUGAUGCCAUUUCCCUCCACCGUUGUGCAUACUCUUUGAGAGAUUCAUU
RNAcentral lists this long non-coding RNA (210 nucleotides) under Cicer arietinum (chickpea). RNAcentral's name for it is "long non-coding RNA (CARI_LNC001412)". Lineage: Eukaryota; Viridiplantae; Streptophyta; Magnoliopsida; Fabales; Fabaceae. The record is from RNAcentral.